RNAcentral lists this transfer RNA (67 nucleotides) under Lachnaia cylindrica. RNAcentral describes it as "tRNA-Trp". The record is from RNAcentral. Lineage: Eukaryota; Metazoa; Arthropoda; Insecta; Coleoptera; Chrysomelidae.
AAGGAUUUAAGUUAAGAAUAAACUAUCAGCCUUCAAAGUUGACAAUAGAGGAAUUUUCUAAGCCUUA